AGAGUUUGAUCAUGGCUCAGAACGAACGCUGGCGGCAGGCUUAACACAUGCAAGUCGAACGCGUGUAGCAAUACACGAGUGGCGCACGGGUGAGUAACGCGUGGAUAUCUGCCUUUUGGUUCGGAAUAACCCCGGGAAACUGGGGCUAAUACCGGAUGGUUCCUUCGGGAUAAAGAUUUAUCGCCAAAAGAUGAGUCCGCGUACGAUUAGCUAGUUGGUGAGGUAAUGGCUCACCAAGGCGACGAUCGUUAGCUGGUCUGAGAGGACGAUCAGCCACACUGGGACUGAGACGCGGCCCAGACUCCUACGGGAGGCAGCAGUGGGGAAUAUUGGACAAUGGGGGCAACCCUGAUCCAGCCAUGCCGCGUGAGUGAUGAAGGCCUUCGGGUUGUAAAGCUCUUUUGGCGGGGACGAUGAUGACGGUACCCGCAGAAUAAGCCCCGGCUAACUUCGUGCCAGCAGCCGCGGUAAGACGAAGGGGGCUAGCGUUGUUCGGAAUUACUGGGCGUAAAGCGAGUGUAGGUGGUUGUCCAAGUUGGAUGUGAAAGCCUUGAGCUCAACUCAAGAAAUGCAUUCAGGACUGGGCGGCUAGAGGACCGGAGAGGAUAGUGGAAUUCCCAGUGUAGUGGUGAAAUACGUAGAGAUUGGGAAGAACACCAGUGGCGAAGGCGGCUAUCUGGACGGUUUCUGACACUAAGACUCGAAAGCGUGGGGAGCAAACAGGAUUAGAUACCCUAGUAGUCC
RNAcentral lists this ribosomal RNA (744 nucleotides) under uncultured bacterium. RNAcentral's name for it is "bacterial SSU rRNA". It matches the Rfam family "Bacterial small subunit ribosomal RNA", at positions 8 to 796 of the family's 1533-position model. The record is from RNAcentral.